UGACAUAGGGCGCAAGCGUUGUCCGGAAUUAUUGGGCGUAAAGAGCUCGUAGGCGGUGUGUCACGUCGUUCGUGAAACCUGCAGCUUAACUGGUGGGCGUGCGGGUCGAGUACGGGCAUCACUGGAGUUCGGCAGGGGGAGAGCUUGGAAGUUCCUGGUGUAGCGGUGAAAUGCGCAGAUAUCAGGAAGAACACCCGUGGCGAAGGCGGCUCUCUGGGACGGUACUGACGCUGAGACGCGAAAGCGUGGGGAGCGAACAGG
Molecule: ribosomal RNA, 261 nt
Filed under: uncultured bacterium
Lineage: Bacteria
Description: partial 16S ribosomal RNA
Rfam family: Bacterial small subunit ribosomal RNA
Source: RNAcentral